UACAGAGGGUGCAAGCGUUGUUCGGAAUCACUGGGCGUAAAGAGUUCGUAGGUGGACUUAUUAGUACAGGGUUAAAUACCGGGGCCUAACCCCGGACCUGCUUUGUAAACGGUAAGUCUAGAGUACUAGAGAGGAUAGCGGAAUUCCUGGUGUAGAGGUGAAAUUCGUAGAUAUCAGGAGGAACAUCUGAGGCGAAGGCGGCUAUCUGGCUAGGCACUGACACUAAAGAACGAAAGCAUGGGGAUCAAACAGG
This 253-nucleotide ribosomal RNA is filed under the name uncultured bacterium. Its description in RNAcentral is "partial 16S ribosomal RNA". It matches the Rfam family "Bacterial small subunit ribosomal RNA", at positions 524 to 776 of the family's 1533-position model. The record is from RNAcentral.